RNAcentral lists this ribosomal RNA (433 nucleotides) under uncultured bacterium. RNAcentral's name for it is "partial 16S ribosomal RNA". It matches the Rfam family "Bacterial small subunit ribosomal RNA", at positions 29 to 507 of the family's 1533-position model. The record is from RNAcentral.
AACGAACGCUGGCGGCAUGCCUAACACAUGCAAGUCGAACGAGACCUUCGGGUCUAGUGGCGCACGGGUGCGUAACGCGUGGGAACCUGCCCUUAGGUUCGGAAUAACUCCCCGAAAGGGGUGCUAAUACCGGAUAAUGUCUUCGGACCAAAGAUUUAUCGCCUUUGGAUGGGCCCGCGUUGGAUUAGCUAGUUGGUAGGGUAAAAGCCUACCAAGGCGACGAUCCAUAGCUGGUCUGAGAGGAUGAUCAGCCACACUGGGACUGAGACACGGCCCAGACUCCUACGGGAGGCAGCAGUGGGGAAUAUUGAACAAUGGGCGAAAGCCUGAUCCAGCAAUGCCGCGUGAGUGAUGAAGGCCUUAGGGUUGUAAAGCUCUUUUACCCGGGAUGAUAAUGACAGAACCGGGAGAAUAAGCUCCGGCUAACUCCGUG